This 460-nucleotide ribosomal RNA is filed under the name uncultured bacterium. RNAcentral's name for it is "partial 16S ribosomal RNA". It matches the Rfam family "Bacterial small subunit ribosomal RNA", at positions 338 to 795 of the family's 1533-position model. The record is from RNAcentral.
CCUACGGGAGACAGCAGUGAGGAAUAUUGGUCAAUGGACGAGAGCCUGAACCAGCCAAGUAGCGUGAAGGAUGACUGCCCUAUGGGUUGUAAACUUCUUUUAUAUGGGAAUAAAAUGUUCCACGUGUGGGAUUUUGUAUGUACCAUAUGAAUAAGGAUCGGCUAACUCCGUGCCAGCAGCCGCGGUAAUACGGAGGAUCCGAGCGUUAUCCGGAUUUAUUGGGUUUAAAGGGAGCGUAGGUGGAUUGUUAAGUCAGUUGUGAAAGUUUGCGGCUCAACCGUAUAAUUGCAGUUGAAACUGGCAGUCUUGAGUACAGUAGAGGUGGGCGGAAUUCGUGGUGUAGCGGUGAAAUGCUUAGAUAUCACGAAGAACUCCGAUUGCGAAGGCAGCUCACUGGACUGCAACUGACACUGAGGCUCGAAAGUGUGGGUAUCAAACAGGAUUAGAUACCCCAGUAGUC